Molecule: ribosomal RNA, 17 nt
Filed under: Roccella phycopsis
Lineage: Eukaryota; Fungi; Ascomycota; Arthoniomycetes; Arthoniales; Roccellaceae
Description: partial large subunit ribosomal RNA
Source: RNAcentral
UUGGCCUCGGAUCAGGC